This 350-nucleotide ribosomal RNA is filed under the name uncultured bacterium. RNAcentral's name for it is "bacterial SSU rRNA". It matches the Rfam family "Bacterial small subunit ribosomal RNA", at positions 1 to 334 of the family's 1533-position model. The record is from RNAcentral.
GACGCACUCUCAGUAGUUUGUAUCCGUGGCUACGGGAUGAACGCUAGCGAUAGGCUUAACACAUGCAAGUCGAGGGGUAACAUGGGAGUAGCUUGCUACUUCUGAUGACGACCGGCGGAUGGGUGAGUAACGCGUAUGCAACUUGCCUCUUAGUGGGGAAUAACCCGGAGAAAUCCGGACUAAUACCGCAUACACUUAGUUAUCCGUAUGGAUGAUUAGGGAAAGAUUUAUUGCUAAGAGAUAGGCAUGCGUUCCAUUAGUUAGUUGGUGAGGUAACGGCUCACCAAGGCAUCGAUGGAUAGGGGAGCUGAGAGGCUUAUCCCCCACAUUGGGACUGAGACACGGCCCAA